CCUAACCUACGGGAGGCAGCAGUAGGGAAUCUUCCACAAUGGGCGAAAGCCUGAUGGAGCAACGCCGCGUGGGUGAAGAAGGUCUUCGGAUCGUAAAACCCUGUUGUUAGAGAAGAAAGCGCGUGAGAGUAACUGUUCACGUUUCGACGGUAUCUAACCAGAAGGCCACGGCUAACUACGUGCCAGCAGCCGCGGUAAUACGUAGGUGGCAAGCGUUAUCCGGAUUUAUUGGGCGUAAAGGGAACGCAGGAGGUCUUUUAAGUCUGCUG
This 269-nucleotide ribosomal RNA is filed under the name uncultured bacterium. RNAcentral describes it as "partial 16S ribosomal RNA". It matches the Rfam family "Bacterial small subunit ribosomal RNA", at positions 331 to 594 of the family's 1533-position model. The record is from RNAcentral.